Molecule: long non-coding RNA, 1342 nt
Filed under: Heterocephalus glaber (naked mole-rat)
Lineage: Eukaryota; Metazoa; Chordata; Mammalia; Rodentia; Bathyergidae
Description: lncRNA (ENSHGLG00100047429.1)
Source: RNAcentral
CUGGGGUUGUUUGGUACAUUGUGGCACUGGAAAGAUGCCCCGAGAGUCAGUCCUUCAGCACAUGCCCCAAUUGUGCAGCUGUGUGAGUCCAUGUGUCCUAAGCCAUCACGUCCUGCUUUCCUGUAUCCUUUUAUAAAAAGAUAGCUAGGGAACUGAAUGUCAUUUUCAAAGCUAUGAGAUUCAGAGUGGUACAUGAUGGCUUUUAAGGAGCACGUGGAAGAUCCACAUUCUGUCGUAUUCGGGGUCCGUGUGAGCGAGUGUAUGCAUAUGUGUGAUAAAUACAACCCAGUGUUCUUUUAUGUGACUGCAAAUAUCCUUAACAAGUGUAAUACUGUUGAGAGUGUUGUGAAGCUGGGUGUGUUUUCCACUGUGUGUCUGUGGGGCUGUAGCUGUCAUGGUGUCACAGUGAGUUUACGGACUGGUGCCUGCGCGUGUCAAGCUAUGUGUGAACCUGUAAGUUGGGGGUGCGGUGUGUCGCCAUCAUUUCUGUGUGGAUGUGUGUGUGUGUGCCUGAACCACUGCAAUGUGUGUGCCUCUGUGAUGCUGGGCGUGGGUGCUGUGUGAAGGGGAAGAUGUGUGUCACUGUGUCUGUGGGGGUCCUGCCUCUGAGCCUCCCCCCAGCCCGCCCUCCUCCCCCAGUUCUGUGGCUCUCCUCCCCAGACAGUGGCCUGCCCCUCCUCCUCCUCCCCUCCCAACCCGUCUGUGCAGGGGGGAGCUGAUGCUGCAGCCCCCCCACCCUUUCCCCAUCCAAGCCCCAUAAAUAGCAGCAGAGCCAGAGCGGAGCCAUGGCGCCAGCGGCUGGAGCAGCAAGGAGUCAGGGCCAGGCUCAGAACCGGAGAGAGGAGCCCCCCGACUGCAAACAGCUGGAUGGACUGACCGGCCGUGAACUCAGGCCACAGUGCCCCGCCUGCUGCUGCCCGAGGCUCGACCUUCAGGGGCCUCUCCAGCCCCUGCCCCAGCCCCUUGUCCCAGUUCAGCUCCCUCAUGCCAAGACUGAGUGCAGUGCUGGCUCAAACACCAGUCGGGAAAUAGCAGAAGGUGCUGAGACAGCAGAAAGUGUGGAUCAAUCGAUGGCCUGGGAGCCAAGGCUGCCAGAAACCCAGCUUGCAUCCCAACCCUCCAGCCCUUUCAAGCCCCAUCCACACACACCUGGUGACAUGUCUGACCCUGAGAUGGGAUGUGGUGCCUGAGCCCCCAACCAUGACGUUGGGGGCCUCCCCUGGUGGAGCUGGGAUGAGUAUCCUGCCAUGGCCUCUUGGACCGGAGACACUCUGGCCAAGCCCCACCCCUGUGUGCUGCUCAAGCUGUACUCUGACGCAAGCAAUGGGUAGAGGGGUAGAGC